Long non-coding RNA from Vicia villosa (hairy vetch), 968 nucleotides. RefSeq lists it as uncharacterized. Lineage: Eukaryota; Viridiplantae; Streptophyta; Magnoliopsida; Fabales; Fabaceae. The record is from RefSeq and is a predicted model, not a curated record. The transcript has 3 exons.
UUGCAUUGUAAUGUAAUUGAACCAUAAAAUUUUCAUCAGUACAAAUGUUGCAGAGAAGAAAUGUUCCCUCUCUUCCCUCUCAUCCUCUUCUCCCUAUUCGUCUUCUCUCUUUUCCCUCUCUUCCUCUUCUUUCUUCUCUCUUCCCUCUCUUCGUCUUCUCCCUAUUCGUCUUCCUCAUUCAUCUUCUUCUUCCUUAUCCAUCUCCUUCUUCAUUGUUAUUAUUGAGUUUCAGACAUGUUCGAUUUUGAUUUUGAUUUGGUGUUUGUUGUUUCAGGUUUGGUGGUGUUGACUCACGCGGAAGAGGGAAGCUUCGCCGACGGUGCGGUUAUCUGAACAUAAGUUUACUGAUGUGUUGAAGGAUAUGAAGAUGAUGUUAUGGUUCCAAAACUUCGGUGAGAUUUUUCUGAUUUUUGUUCUUUGUGUUUUUGGAUCUACAGAUCUGUUGUCUUUUUUUCUUCUUCUACAAAAAUUUCUAAAGGAUUUUAUGUAUUUGGAAAAUGACGGUAACAUUUAGGGUUUCAUUAUGAUCUCUGUGGCUAUGGCUGUGUGUUUGUGUGAACAGUUAUUGUUUUUGCAACAAUUUGAGAAGGGUUUCUGGAAAAUGAAGAAUGAAAAUCUUAGGGUUUCAUUGUUUGUUUCUCUGUGGCUGAUUUCGGGUGAACAGUGGUCUCUGAGGUAUGGACAACUCAAAGUUUCCCGAUUUAAGGCAUGUCUGAGCUUGCCCUCCAUAUGUUUGAUGAAAAGCAGGAAUGACACAGUGGUUGUCGUUGCUGUGUUUCAUGGUCUGAGGUUUGAAAGACCCGGUCAGGUUUGAGAGCAGUAGAGCACGGGAUGAUAUCGAUAUUCGAAUUAAAACCUGUUGCAGUGCGAAAAGGAUCAUUCAAACCAGAAUAAUACAUGAGUCACACUGCCAUCGGCGACAAGGAACGAUAAGAAAUUUUCUACUGGAUUCUUAAAGGUUAAUAAUA